UUGUCGUCAGCUCGUGUCGUGAGAUGUUGGGUUAAGUCCCGCAACGAGCGCAACCCUUGUCUUUAGUUGCCAGCAUUCAGUUGGGCACUCUAGAGAGACUGCCAGGGAUAACCUGGAGGAAGGUGGGGAUGACGUCAAAUCAUCAUGCCCCUUAUGCUUAGGGCUACACACGUGCUACAAUGGGUGGUACAGAGGGUUGCCAAACCGUGAGGUGGAGCUAAUCCCUUAAAGCCAUUCUCAGUUCGGAUUGUAGGCUGAAACUCGCCUACAUGAAGCUGGAGUUACUAGUAAUCGCAGAUCAGAAUGCUGCGGUGAAUGCGUUCCCGGGUCUUGUACACACCGCCCGUCACACCAUGGGAGUCGGAAACACCCGAAGCCGAUUAUCCAACCGCAAGGAGGAAGUCGUCGAAGGUGGCGUCGAUAACUGGGGUGAAGUCGUAACAAGGUAGCCGUAUCGGAAGGUGCGGCUG
RNAcentral lists this ribosomal RNA (470 nucleotides) under Peptostreptococcus anaerobius. RNAcentral's name for it is "bacterial SSU rRNA". It matches the Rfam family "Bacterial small subunit ribosomal RNA", at positions 1049 to 1520 of the family's 1533-position model. The record is from RNAcentral. Lineage: Bacteria; Bacillati; Bacillota; Clostridia; Peptostreptococcales; Peptostreptococcaceae.